UACCUACGGGUGGCUGCAGUGGGGAAUUUUGGACAAUGGGGGAAACCCUGAUCCAGCCAUCCCGCGUGUGCGAUGAAGGCCUUCGGGUUGUAAAGCACUUUUGGCAGGAAAGAAACGUCGUGGGUUAAUACCCCGCGAAACUGACGGUACCUGCAGAAUAAGCACCGGCUAACUACGUGCCAGCAGCCGCGGUAAUACGUAGGGUGCAAGCGUUAAUCGGAAUUACUGGGCGUAAAGCGUGCGCAGGCGGUUCGGAAAGAAAGAUGUGAAAUCCCGGAGCUUAACUUUGGAACUGCAUUUUUAACUACCGGGCUAGAGUGUGUCAGAGGGAGGUGGAAUUCCGCGUGUAGCAGUGAAAUGCGUAGAUAUGCGGAGGAACACCGAUGGCGAAGGCAGCCUCCUGGGAUAACACUGACGCUCAUGCACGAAAGCGUGGGGAGCAAACAGGAUUAGAUACCCUGGUAGUCUCC
Molecule: ribosomal RNA, 470 nt
Filed under: uncultured Achromobacter sp.
Lineage: Bacteria; Pseudomonadati; Pseudomonadota; Betaproteobacteria; Burkholderiales; Alcaligenaceae
Description: bacterial SSU rRNA
Rfam family: Bacterial small subunit ribosomal RNA
Source: RNAcentral